Long non-coding RNA from Mus pahari (shrew mouse), 719 nucleotides. RefSeq lists it as uncharacterized. The record is from RefSeq and is a predicted model, not a curated record. NCBI's taxonomy places the organism in Eukaryota, Metazoa, Chordata, Mammalia, Rodentia, Muridae. The transcript is spliced from 2 exons.
AGGAAUGUGACCUGGUUCUUUAGCUCAAGCCUCUCCUCUCAGCCUUUCUCAGCCAUCUGCCUUUGACAUACACAAUGGAGGUUUAGACUGUCAAGAGGAUCUGGAAGCAGGCAGUGACUGGGGGACAUGCUGCAUAGACUCCUUGCCACCCCCCCACUCCCCCCCCCCCACACACCAGGCACUCUCUGCCUUUAUGAUACCUCUGCUGUGUGGGCACCAGGGAGAAUCCCAGCCACAGAAGACAGCUUCCUGAAAAACAUCCAUCCCAGGAGGAGACAGUCCUUGGCUAUGGUGAGCUGCAGCUGAACUUGGAUUCUGUGGAUACAGAUCACAGAAUGACUUGGAAAUAUCAAAACCCGUUGUCCAGCACUUGGGAACACUUGGGGCUCUGGAAUGGUGGCCACUGAAGAGCACCACAGGUCUUAACGGCUCUCUGAAAUCGUCUUAGCACUGAGAGGCUCAAGCUAUGGACACCCCUUUCAGACAGGCUGUGAUGUCCUGGAUCUUCUGCCUCCAGAUCCUGAUCUCAGUUUUGAGCGUAGUGUAUGCUUUUGCACAUGACUUUAGGGCAAAUAAGGGAAGGAAGGUGGAGUUUUUGUCUUUUGAGGAUUCAGGCUUUACCUCUAGAUAUUAGUGUGGUUAAGAUUUGAAAAUCUAUAGUAAGACAAUAUUACUUUGGGGAAACCAUCACAUGGAAAUAAAGGCUCUUAUUCUUAUGG